GAUGAAGAACGCAGCGAAACGCGAUAAGUAAUGUGAAUUGCAGAAUCCAGUGAAUCAUCGAAUCUUUGAACGCACAUUGCGCCCGCCAGCAUUCUGGCGGGCAUGCCUGUUCGAGCGUCAUUUCAACCCUCGACCUCCCCUUGGGGAGGUCGGCGUUGGGGACCGGCAGCACACCGCCGGCCCUGAAAUGGAGUGGCGGCCCGUCCGCGGCGACCUCUGCGCAGUAAUACAGCUCGCACCGGGACCCCGACGCGGCCACGCCGUAAAACACCCAACUUCUGAACGUUGACCUCGAAUCAGGUAGGACUACCCGCUGAACUUAAGCAUAUCAGUAAGCGGAGGA
RNAcentral lists this unclassified non-coding RNA (343 nucleotides) under soil metagenome. RNAcentral describes it as "partial contains 5.8S ribosomal RNA, internal transcribed spacer 2, and large subunit ribosomal RNA". The stretch from base 1 to 120 matches the Rfam family "5.8S ribosomal RNA", at positions 35 to 154 of the family's 154-position model. The record is from RNAcentral.